Harmonia axyridis is the source of this 905-nucleotide long non-coding RNA. RefSeq lists it as uncharacterized. NCBI's taxonomy places the organism in Eukaryota, Metazoa, Arthropoda, Insecta, Coleoptera, Coccinellidae. The record is from RefSeq and is a predicted model, not a curated record. The transcript has 3 exons.
CAUACUAAUAUAAAUAUAAACAUCAGUUAACACAGUUUAACAAGUUAAAAUUUCAAUACAUCAACACGCUGAAGACAACACAAGUCAGAACUCGAAUCUCAAAAACUCGUCAACAGAAUAAAAUACGUUCUCCAACAACAAAUUCUUGACAUUUCUCUGAAGAGCUGACCUUGGCAAACUCUUCAUAGAUUGAGGAAGCUUGUUGUACAGUUUGAUGCACCAGUAAUUCACUGCAAUUUGAGUGGAUUUAGCUCUAUGAAAAUUGCUCCUGAACUCAUCUCUGUGUCUGGUGUUGUACGAAUGGCAAUCGCUGACUUGAGUGAACCCAUUUUUGUUUGAGUGAACAAAUUUCAAGCACUCCAGAAUGAAAACGGAGACAAUGGAAAAUCCGAUCAAGACCUGGACUAUGCCCCCAUAUCAGUAUCCCGUAUGUCGCCACAGAGUGAAAGUUGGAAAAAUAAGUCAGCUUACAGACAUUAUCGGUAGAGAUGGCCUUCAUGCGCCUCAUAGUAAAAAGGGCUGUCGACAGUUUCCUGACCAUUAAAGGUAAACCAGUCCUCCGCAACUCGCAGGGUCUCAUUACACACACGCUCCAGUUCCUCCCGUGAAGAAGUAAUAUUGAGAAAGGAUGUAUCAUCUGCAUAUAAACUCGUUGCCUCGCACGGAACAUUUCCUGGUAAGUCAUUAAUGUACACAACGAACAACAAAGGACCCAGUAUCGAUCUCUGUGGGACUCCCACAUUUAUCUCUCUAAUUCCAGAGUUCAUACCCUUCCAUGUGACCACCUGCUUUCUAUCAGUUAAGUAUGAUCUGAUGAAUUUCAAAGCUAUACCUCUUACUCCAUAGUACUCCAUCUUCUCAAGCAGUAUUUCCCUGUCAACACAGUCAAAAGCCUUACUGAGAUC